Molecule: small nucleolar RNA, 132 nt
Organism: Acomys russatus (golden spiny mouse)
Lineage: Eukaryota; Metazoa; Chordata; Mammalia; Rodentia; Muridae
Product: small nucleolar RNA SNORA17
Exons: 1
Source: RefSeq, a predicted model, not a curated record
CCUAGCCCUAGAAGCACUGCAGCUGUGGCGGCCAUGUCACAUAUAGACCAGUACAUGUCCGAGAGGAAAGAGCCUGUGCGUAAGCUCAGUGUUCUGACCUGUGAACAUCUCAAUGAUUAGUAGCCUAACUUU